Molecule: ribosomal RNA, 484 nt
Filed under: uncultured bacterium
Lineage: Bacteria
Description: partial 16S ribosomal RNA
Rfam family: Bacterial small subunit ribosomal RNA
Source: RNAcentral
GACGAACGCUGGCGGCGUGCCUAACACAUGCAAGUCGAGCGAGGUCCAUCCGGUGGCAACACUGGUGAAGACCUAGCGGCGAACGGGUGAGUAACACGUGAGAAACCUGCCCCGAAGACCGGGAUAACCCUCCGAAAGGAGAGCUAAUACCGGAUGCCCUCACCGGGCCGCAUGACCUGGUGAGGAAAUGGAUUCCGCUUCGGGAGGGUCUCGCGGCCUAUCAGCUUGUUGGUGAGGUAAUGGCUCACCAAGGCUUCGACGGGUAGCUGGUCUGAGAGGAUGAUCAGCCACACGGGGCCGGGGACACGGCCCAGACUCCUGCGGGAGGCAGCAGUGGGGAAACGUGCGCAAUGGGCGAAAGCCUGACGCAGCAACGCCGCGUGGGGGAUGAAGGCUCUCGGGUUGUAAACCCCUUUCAGCAGGGAAGAUUAUGACGGUACCUGCAGAAGAAGCCCCGCCAACUACGUGCCAGCAGCCGCCGUAA